Molecule: small nuclear RNA, 116 nt
Organism: Mesoplodon densirostris (Blainville's beaked whale)
Lineage: Eukaryota; Metazoa; Chordata; Mammalia; Artiodactyla; Ziphiidae
Product: U5 spliceosomal RNA
Exons: 1
Source: RefSeq, a predicted model, not a curated record
UUGGAGGGGUUUCUCUUCAACACGCGUAAAUCUUUCGCCUUUUACUGAAGAUUUUCGUGGAGAGAAAUAAUUCAGAGUGGCUCAACAAUUUUUGGAAGCCUUGUCUUCGCAAGGCU